RNAcentral lists this ribosomal RNA (464 nucleotides) under uncultured bacterium. RNAcentral describes it as "bacterial SSU rRNA". It matches the Rfam family "Bacterial small subunit ribosomal RNA", at positions 27 to 507 of the family's 1533-position model. The record is from RNAcentral.
GAACGAACGCUGGCGGCGUGCCUAACACAUGCAAGUCGAACGGAGUUGUUACUUCGGUGAUAACUUAGUGGCGAACGGGUGAGUAACGCGUGAGGAACCUACCUUUCAGUGGGGGACAACAGUUGGAAACGACUGCUAAUACCGCAUAAUGUCAUCGAGCGGCAUCGCUUGAUGACCAAAGAUUUAUUGCUGAAAGAUGGCCUCGCGUCUGAUUAGCUAGUUGGUGAGGUAACGGCUCACCAAGGCGACGAUCAGUAGCCGGUCUGAGAGGAUGAACGGCCACAUUGGGACUGAGAUACGGCCCAGACUCCUACGGGAGGCAGCAGUGGGGAAUAUUGGGCAAUGGGGGAAACCCUGACCCAGCAACGCCGCGUGAAGGAAGAAGGCCUUCGGGUUGUAAACUUCUUUUAGCAGGGACGAAGAACGUGACGGUACCUGCAGAAAAAGCAACGGCUAACUACGUG